CUACAGCUACAUACCACCCUGAAUGCGUCCAAUCUCGUCUGAUCUCAGAAGCUAAGCAGGGUCGGACCUGGUUAGUACUUGGAUGGGAGAAACACUUGUGAAGUUCACAGUCCAGAAGUACA
This 122-nucleotide ribosomal RNA is filed under the name Propithecus coquereli (Coquerel's sifaka). Lineage: Eukaryota; Metazoa; Chordata; Mammalia; Primates; Indriidae. The record is from RNAcentral.